Molecule: long non-coding RNA, 213 nt
Filed under: Calidris pugnax (ruff)
Lineage: Eukaryota; Metazoa; Chordata; Aves; Charadriiformes; Scolopacidae
Description: lncRNA (ENSCPUG00000014444.1)
Source: RNAcentral
CAGAAAAGAUGCACAAAACCCCAACUGAAUGAAGACGUGCCACACACUCUGCCAACAGCUUCUCCUCUCUCAAUCUAGGAGCCACCACUGAAAUCAGCACUUGCUUGAUUGGAUCAGCCAUGAUUGCACACUACUUCAUGAAGCUGCGAAGAAUGUGAUCUUCUAUGGCUGGGACACAAGUGACAUCUGACUGUUGUAGUUCCAGGAUGGCAU